UCCAUUGCUUAGUUGGUAGAGCACAAUGCUCUUAACCUUGUGGUCAUGGGUUCAAGCCCGAUGAUGGAG
Non-coding RNA from Triticum aestivum (bread wheat), 69 nucleotides. The record is from Rfam. NCBI's taxonomy places the organism in Eukaryota, Viridiplantae, Streptophyta, Magnoliopsida, Poales, Poaceae.